This is a non-coding RNA of Arachis ipaensis, 263 nucleotides long. Lineage: Eukaryota; Viridiplantae; Streptophyta; Magnoliopsida; Fabales; Fabaceae. The record is from RefSeq and is a predicted model, not a curated record.
CCUCUAGUUGAUGAAAAAUGCGAGGAAGGAAGAGAAGCAAACAUCUUGCUGGCACUAGACUCUGUUUUCGAAGGAGGGGAGCUUCUAAAGCGUACAAGAAAAGGAGAUCUUCACUGGAAGCAAGUAUCUUUCAAUAUGAAUUCAAAUUUACAGGUUAUAGCAAAAAUGAAGAGCAAGCACAUGGCAGGAACAUUCACCAAAAAGAAGAAAUGUAUAGUCACCGGAGUCUGCAGUGAUGUCCAAGCUUGGCCGGGAAGAGAGAA